CGAAGGGAAAUGAGCGGAGGAAAUCCGCACAAGGGUUUUUACUGCCAAAUAUUUCUUUCCCUAGGAAGACAGUACAUUCAAACCACUGAGUGGAGACUGGAGUUAGGCCAGCCAUAAACUAUCCUAAUGAAGACUAAUCGGGAACUACAAUUACUGUUGACUUCAGAAUGCAAACAUGAACUUUAGACAGCGAUCCCUAUCAGCCGAUAAAAGUUUGAAUUUUGCCCGGGAGGGACCCUCCAGAAUUAUCAUUAAAGAAAAUAUACGCAAAGAACAGAAGGGUCCCAUGCUGCCCUCUCCACAACAGAGUGUGGUGAUAUCCACUGGAAGGUCUUGUUGUCUCACAGAGGAACUUCCUCCUUCUGUAGGGAGGGUCUCCUUCUACAGUCCUUGUGCUGACCUCACCUGAACCUAUAGCGAGCUUUAACUUCUGCUUGGUGGCCUUUCCCCCAUGUAUACAUGUUCUCACGUUUGUAAUACGUUAAUGAGUCAAAACAACUUUGUCAUAACAUCCACUUAUGAUUAAAAAAAUUUUGGUAAUCUCGGG
This 547-nucleotide long non-coding RNA is filed under the name Rattus norvegicus (Norway rat). Its description in RNAcentral is "long non-coding RNA NONRATT033341". Lineage: Eukaryota; Metazoa; Chordata; Mammalia; Rodentia; Muridae. The record is from RNAcentral.